Long non-coding RNA from Mauremys reevesii (Reeves's turtle), 587 nucleotides. RefSeq lists it as uncharacterized. The record is from RefSeq and is a predicted model, not a curated record. The transcript has 3 exons. Lineage: Eukaryota; Metazoa; Chordata; Testudines; Geoemydidae.
CAGCGCCCCGCACAGCUCGGCUCGGCGCCGAGCGAGAGGUACGAAGCCAGCUCCCACAGGUUUUACAAAGGAAGAGAGACAGAGCAUGCAUCAAGAAUCUUUCUGACUGGAUUGAACCAAGUGUGACAAGAGACAAGGACAAUGAGCCAUUCAUUUGCAUCGGAUAUUGCAGGAAUAUCAUUUGCACUGUAAAUCUCAGGAGACUGCAAAAUUAACAUGGCAUCUGGUCCCUGGCGGAGACAGAAUGUUGAGCCCCCAGGAAGGCUUCUUGGCUUUGAAGACAAAGAUAAACUUUGGAGAUAUUAGAAGCUGCUACAGGACUUUAGGAUAUUCAUCACCUGAGACAACAAAGCAGUCAGCGCCUUGUAUCUGUGAAAGGUGGGUCCUCCUGUUACAACAGGCUGCAGAAUACUGACAAUAUGAUGUAAAAAACUAUGUUAGGCAAAAACUGUAUCUUGCUAGAAUUAAGUUGUCGAGACUAGAAAGCAUGUUCUUUUUGUUUUGUUUGUAGCGCUUUCAUAUCUCUUUCACUUUUGCUUGAAAUCAUUUAAAUCUAGGUUCUUUGUUAAUAAAAUUAUUCUUCGUUU